AUUGAACGCUGGCGGCAGGCCUAACACAUGCAAGUCGAACGAGUGGCGGACGGGUGAGUAAUGUCUGGGAAACUGCCUGAUGGAGGGGGAUAACUACUGGAAACGGUAGCUAAUACCGCAUACCAUCAGAUGUGCCCAGAUGGGAUUAGCGAGUUGGUGGGGUAACGGCUCACCAAGGCGACGAUCCCUAGCUGGUCUGAGAGGAUGACCAGCCCCCCUUGGCCUGAGACACGGUCCGGACUCCUACGGGAGGCAGCAGUGGUGAAUUUUGCACAAUGGGCGCAAGCCUGAUUCAGCCAUUCCUCGUGUAUGAAUAAGGCCUUCGGGUUGUAAAGUACUUUCAGCGGGGAGGCGUUACCCGCAGAAGAAGCACCGGCUGACUCCGUGCCAGCAGCCGCGGUAAUUC
This 406-nucleotide ribosomal RNA is filed under the name uncultured bacterium. RNAcentral describes it as "partial 16S ribosomal RNA". It matches the Rfam family "Bacterial small subunit ribosomal RNA", at positions 30 to 526 of the family's 1533-position model. The record is from RNAcentral.